AUACCUUUCUCGGCCUUUUGGCUAAGAUCAAGUGUAGUAUCUGUUCUUAUCAGUUUAAUAUCUGAUAUGUGGGCCAAUGGCCCACACGAUAUUAAAUUACUUUUUUGAAGGGGAGAGUCCAUUACAGUAGCUUGCUACUGGGCCUCUCAUGUGUCGCCCAAGCGUUACACUAUAGCUUGGGCUUGGCGCACCCUACAAUUUUAGUUUAAAUAUUGUCCUUCCUUUUUUUUGUUCGAGUCAAUCUCUAUUAAAUUGUUUUAAGAUUUUGGUCUUCGUGAUGGAGAAGAAAAUAGUGGCGACUGAGAAAAAAUAGAUUAAAAUGAAAGGUGAUUUAGACACAUAAACAAUUGUACUUAUUUUUGUUAUGCAACAAAAAUAAUUUGCUGUGUGGGGAAAUUGGGAAUUUUCUAUAGCGUA
This is a non-coding RNA of Lupinus albus (white lupine), 417 nucleotides long. The record is from the annotation of a GenBank genome assembly. Lineage: Eukaryota; Viridiplantae; Streptophyta; Magnoliopsida; Fabales; Fabaceae.